AGUGAACGCUGGCGGUAGGCCUAACACAUGCCAGUCGAACGGCAGCACAGUAAGAGCUUGCUCUUACGGGUGGCGAGUGGCGGACGGGUGCGGAAUACAUCGGAAUCUACUUUUUCGUGGGGGAUAACGUAGGGAAACUUACGCGAAUACCGCAUACGACCUACGGGUGAAAGCAGGGGAUCUUCGGACCUUGCGCGAUUGAAUUAGCCGAUGUCGGAUUAGCUAGUUGGCGGGGUAAAGGCCCACCAAGGCGACGAUCCGUAGCUGGUCUGAGAGGAUGGUCAGCCACACUGGAACUGAGACACGGUCCAGACUCCUACGGGAGGCAGCAGUGGGGAAUAUUGGACAAUGGGCGCAAGCCUGAUCCAGCCAUACCGCGUGGGUGAAGAAGGCCUUCGGGUUGUAAAGCCCUUUUGUUGGGAAAGAAAAGCAGCAGGUUAAUACCCCGCUGUUCUGACGGUACCCAAAGAAUAAGCACCGGCUAACUUCGUG
This 492-nucleotide ribosomal RNA is filed under the name uncultured bacterium. RNAcentral describes it as "partial 16S ribosomal RNA". It matches the Rfam family "Bacterial small subunit ribosomal RNA", at positions 29 to 507 of the family's 1533-position model. The record is from RNAcentral.